CAAGUCGAACGGUAACAGAAGCUAGCUUGCUAGCUUGCUGACGAGUGGCGGACGGGUGAGUAACGCAUAGGAAUCUGCCCAGUAGCGGGGGACAACACGGAGAAAUCCGUGCUAAUACCGCAUACGACCUACGGGUGAAAACGGGGGAUCUUCGGACCUCGUGCUAUUGGAUGAGCCUAUGUCAGAUUAGCUUGUUGGUAGGGUAAUGGCCUACCAAGGCAACGAUCUGUAGCUGGUCUGAGAGGAUGAUCAGCCACACUGGAACUGAGACACGGUCCAGACUCCUACGGGAGGCAGCAGUGGGGAAUAUUGCACAAUGGGCGCAAGCCUGAUGCAGCAAUGCCGCGUGUGUGAAGAAGGCCUGCGGGUUGUAAAGCACUUUUAUCGGGAAAGAAAAAAUCAAGACUAAUACUCUUGAUCUUGACGGUACCCGUUGAAUAAGCACCGGCUAACUCCGUG
Molecule: ribosomal RNA, 459 nt
Filed under: uncultured Gammaproteobacteria bacterium
Lineage: Bacteria; Pseudomonadati; Pseudomonadota; Gammaproteobacteria
Description: bacterial SSU rRNA
Rfam family: Bacterial small subunit ribosomal RNA
Source: RNAcentral